GCAUUAAUGGGGUAGUGGUAACCUGGGUCGUUGCCAUUCGAGUUAAGCUCGACCCGCCGGGGGUUCGAUUCCCUCUUAAUGCA
This is a non-coding RNA of Coprinopsis marcescibilis, 83 nucleotides long. NCBI's taxonomy places the organism in Eukaryota, Fungi, Basidiomycota, Agaricomycetes, Agaricales, Psathyrellaceae. The record is from the annotation of a GenBank genome assembly.